RNAcentral lists this ribosomal RNA (280 nucleotides) under uncultured bacterium. Its description in RNAcentral is "partial 16S ribosomal RNA". It matches the Rfam family "Bacterial small subunit ribosomal RNA", at positions 506 to 784 of the family's 1533-position model. The record is from RNAcentral.
UGCCAGCAGCCGCGGUAAGACGGAGGGCGCAAGCGUUGUUCGGAAUUACUGAGCGUAAAGGGCGGGCAGGUGGUCUGUUAAGUCGUUUGUGAAAAUCCGGGGCUCAACCCCGCGAAAUGCAGACGAUACUGGCAGACUAGAGAUCGGUAGAGGCUAGCGGAAUUCCUGGUGUAGCGGUGGAAUGCGUAGAUAUCAGGAAGAACACCUGUGGCGAAGGCGGCUAGCUGGGCCGAGUCUGACACUCAUCCGCGAAAGCGUGGGGAGCAAACAGGAUUAGAUA